Non-coding RNA from Chiloscyllium plagiosum (whitespotted bambooshark), 671 nucleotides. The record is from RefSeq and is a predicted model, not a curated record. Lineage: Eukaryota; Metazoa; Chordata; Chondrichthyes; Orectolobiformes; Hemiscylliidae.
UCCAGCAGCACAUCGGGAUGGGAGACCGGGAUUGAUUCGGGGCAAGUACUCAAAGGACCAAGACUAUGUAAUAUUAUCUCCAUACAGAGCCAAGUGUGACCAGCUGCUUCGAACAAACAGCAGAUGCUGCCAGACCUGUUGAGUGUCUGAGGCAAUUUUUGUUUAAGAGUGUUCAUGUCAAGUCUUCAACUGCACCAGUGAAACAUGAGCACAGAUCAUGGAUGAAGAAUGGAUUACCUGACACUGAGGUCGAUGGAAUUACUGGUCACAUUAAAUAUCAUUCCACAGGGACCCCUGUUGACCAACAGACACUGUUAUCGGCGUUGGUGCUGGGACUGGAAGGAUUCAAUGGCCAGCUCUGUUCUGCCUGAGCUCGAGUUGUAAUUCCUACUGGCAUUGUUUAAGGUUUUCUGUUGAAAGUACCAUUGAAAGUAGGGUCCAGUACCUUGGCUCAGUACACACUCUAGAACGAGAAGACUCCCAAUCAGGAUCUCCAUUUUAUUGGCUCUGGGGGUGAGGAAAACCCCAGCAACAGGAACCGGAACAAAACAAGACAAAGAGGAAAUAAAAAAACGGACGCUGAAAUUGUCUCUUUUUUCACAGAUGUUAUCUUCGAUGACAGGAUAAUAAUUGAUGGAAAGGAGAAAUAAAACAAGCAAGAUUUCACAUCA